AACCUUAUAGUAUAUAAAACUAUAUUACCGUAAACUGCAACUUUACUAAAGCUAAUAGCUAAGGUUU
RNAcentral lists this transfer RNA (67 nucleotides) under Sinanodonta woodiana. RNAcentral's name for it is "tRNA-Cys". Lineage: Eukaryota; Metazoa; Mollusca; Bivalvia; Unionida; Unionidae. The record is from RNAcentral.